Molecule: ribosomal RNA, 492 nt
Filed under: uncultured bacterium
Lineage: Bacteria
Description: partial 16S ribosomal RNA
Rfam family: Bacterial small subunit ribosomal RNA
Source: RNAcentral
AGUGAACGCUGGCGGCAGGCCUAACACAUGCAAGUCGAACGGCAGCACAGUAAGAGUUUGCUCUUACGGGUGGCGAGUGGCGGACGGGUGAGGAAUACAUCGGAAUCUACUUUUUCGUGGGGGAUAACGUAGGGAAACUUACGCUAAUACCGCAUACGAUCUACGGGUGAAAGCAGGGGAUCUUCGCACCUUGCGCGAUUGAAUGAGCCGAUGUCGGAUUAGCUAGUUGGCGGGGUAAAGGCCCACCAAGGCGACGAUCCGUAGCUGGUCUGAGAGGAUGAUCAGCCACACUGGAACUGAGACACGGUCCAGACUCCUACGGGAGGCAGCAGUGGGGAAUAUUGGACAAUGGGCGCAAGCCUGAUCCAGCCAUACCGCGUGGGUGAAGAAGGCCUUCGGGUUGUAAAGCCCUUUUGUUGGGGAAGAAAAGCAGCAGGUUAAUACCCCGCUGUUCUGACGGUACCCAAAGAAUAAGCACCGGCUAACUUCGUG